Molecule: non-coding RNA, 1317 nt
Organism: Physcomitrium patens
Lineage: Eukaryota; Viridiplantae; Streptophyta; Bryopsida; Funariales; Funariaceae
Source: RefSeq, a predicted model, not a curated record
UUCAAGGCUGUUCUCACCCGGUUAUCAACCGCUCGUCUCGUCUUUUUCUUGACUCUUUGUCCGAUUACGGAGCAUUGCAUAGUUCAUGGUGGAAUUCCGACAUGUUCUUUUGACGGAGGAAGAUUGUGCUGUCUUUGCGUGAAGAGAUUCCGAUUGGUAUGGACUAGAUGGAACAGGCUACUCUGCGAGUGAAUCUUCGACUAUCUUUACGAACACAACAAAAAACACGUCUACCCGUUCGUCUUGCGCUAACUUGAGCAUGACGACUACACCAUGGUUGACCCUAAUUUCAAAGGUUCUUCGAGCUUUCUCCAUUCAGGUGCGAGGUGGUCGUGAUUAAUCAACCCUGAGGAUUCUCAUGCUGCCUGGAAUGACAAAAAAACUGACUCCACUGUAGAUUGUGGACUUCUUUGAUGCAAUUGCUAGAACCAGUGGGGAACUGUCAGAGCCUGCCACCGUUUUCCGUCUUUAUGACAUGUUUGACAACCAUGAUGAGUUCCGUAGGUGCUGUUGCUCGCAAAUACAAGGUAUGUAUUCCCAACUACAGCGAGAAAUAAGAAAUGGGAUUAUAUGUAUGCUAAUUUUUUCACAAAUGAGUGGCACACCAUGAAAAGCAGGUAUCAUUCAGAAGACACAACCAGGGCCAUUCUUUGUUGGCCCCGUUUCAAAGGUACACAUCCCUCGGUUUAAACUUGUGUAAUACAUUCUAGUGCAAGUGACCUGAGCCCCGUCUUGCAUUGUGUCCAAGCAUACUCGACCUCUUAUUCUAUGCUUUGUGCAUCCGUUUGUUGCCUUUGCUUCUGGAGAACUUUUGGUGUGUGGUUUUGAUGAAUUUAAACAGGAAUGCAGGUUGUGCAGUUGUUAAUCAGACUUGUUUGUGCUCACUUUUUGUGAAGGCAAGGAUUUGUUUCUAAGUUUACACUCAAUUUAGCAGUUUGUCUAGACUAGUCACUAAUCAUUCAAAAUGUGGAGGUUGAGAAAGUGGCAUUGGAAUUGGCUGGGUAAGACAACGUGGAAGUUGAAGUUUUCAACGUGGUGUUCUGCCAAACUUACACAUGGGAAAAGUUCCAGAGGGACAUGGUUUAUACAGAAACAUUUUACUCAUGAUAAAAAUUAGAUUAUGAAAGUUUGGAAUCUUUCGUUUCUGCAAUCACUGUAAUCUACUUCUCACAAUGAAUUCUGGUAAACUACCUAGAAGCGGAGGCCGAUUGCCUUCAUUCUUGGCAUUGUUCCCUUCUUUGGGUAGAUUCUCAAUCACCCAAUUCAGGUAUUUCACAUGGCAGUACAACGGUCUUGAAUAUAUCGAAAAUUUGUAGA